UGGGGAAUAUUGGACAAUGGGCGCAAGCCUGAUCCAGCCAUGCCGCGUGAGUGAUGAAGGCCCUAGGGUUGUAAAGCUCUUUCUCCGGUGAAGAUAAUGACGGUAACCGGAGAAGAAGCCCCGGCUAACUUCGUGCCAGCAGCCGCGGUAAUACGAAGGGGGCUAGCGUUGUUCGGAUUUACUGGGCGUAAAGCGCACGUAGGCGGACUAUUAAGUCAGGGGUGAAAUCCCGGGGCUCAACCCCGGAACUGCCUUUGAUACUGGUAGUCUUGAGUUCGGGAGAGGUGAGUCGAAUUCCGAGUGGAGAGGUGAAAUUCGUAGAUAAUAGGAGGAAAACCAGUGGCGAAGGCGGCUCACUGGCUCGAUACUGACGCUGAGGUGCGAAAGCGGGGGGAGCAAACAGG
RNAcentral lists this ribosomal RNA (404 nucleotides) under Actinomycetes bacterium. RNAcentral's name for it is "Actinobacteria bacterium partial 16S ribosomal RNA". It matches the Rfam family "Bacterial small subunit ribosomal RNA", at positions 355 to 776 of the family's 1533-position model. Lineage: Bacteria; Bacillati; Actinomycetota; Actinomycetes. The record is from RNAcentral.